RNAcentral lists this ribosomal RNA (459 nucleotides) under uncultured bacterium. RNAcentral's name for it is "partial 16S ribosomal RNA". It matches the Rfam family "Bacterial small subunit ribosomal RNA", at positions 338 to 795 of the family's 1533-position model. The record is from RNAcentral.
CCUACGGGUGGCAGCAGUGAGGAAUAUUGGUCAAUGGGCGCUAGCCUGAACCAGCCAAGUAGCGUGAAGGAUGACUGCCCUAUGGGUUGUAAACUUCUUUUAUAUGGGAAUAAAGUGCAGUCUGUAUACUGCUUUGCAUGUACCUUAUGAAUAAGGAUCGGCUAACUCCGUGCCAGCAGCCGCGGUAAUACGGAGGAUCCGAGCGUUAUCCGGAUUUAUUGGGUUUAAAGGGUGCGUAGGCGGAAGGUUAAGUCAGCGGUCAAAUGUCGGUGCUCAACACCGGCCUGCCGUUGAAACUGGUCUUCUUGAGUGAGCGAGAAGUAUGCGGAAUGCGUGGUGUAGCGGUGACAUGCAUAGAUAUCACUCAGAACUCCGAUUGCGAAGGCAGCAUACCGGCGCUCAACUGACGCUGAGGCACGAAAGCGUGGGGAUCGAACAGGAUUAGAUACCCCUGUAGUC